GACGAACGCUGGCGGCGUGCUUAACACAUGCAAGUCGAACGGACAGACCCUGCUUUUGCGGGGUGCUCGUUUGGCGCACGCGUGAGUGACACGUGAGUAUACUGCCCUUGUCUUUGGGAUAACUUCACGAAACUGGGGCUCAUACCGGAUAGGAGCUCCUGCUGCAUGGUGGGGGUUGGAAAGUUUCGGCGUUUGGGGAUGGACUGGCGGCUUAUCAGCUUGUUGGGGGGGUAGGGGCUUACCAAGUCUUUGACGGGUAGCCGGCCUGAGAGGGUGAACGGCGACAUUGGUACUGAGAGACGGAGCAGAAUGCUACGGGAGGCAGUAGGGGGGAACAUGGCAGAAUGGGCGGAAGUGAGAGGCAGAAACGUCGCGUUCGUGAUGACGUGCUACGAGUGGUAAACCGCUGUGGCCGGUGACGAGGCGGGAGUGACGGUAAUGGGUAAGGAAGCACCGGCUAACUACGUG
RNAcentral lists this ribosomal RNA (468 nucleotides) under uncultured bacterium. Its description in RNAcentral is "partial 16S ribosomal RNA". It matches the Rfam family "Bacterial small subunit ribosomal RNA", at positions 28 to 507 of the family's 1533-position model. The record is from RNAcentral.